RNAcentral lists this ribosomal RNA (240 nucleotides) under uncultured bacterium. RNAcentral describes it as "partial 16S ribosomal RNA". It matches the Rfam family "Bacterial small subunit ribosomal RNA", at positions 57 to 305 of the family's 1533-position model. The record is from RNAcentral.
GCAAGUCGAACGUUAAAGUAUCUUCGGAUGUUAUUAAAGUGGCGCACGGGUGAGUAACACGUAGGUGACCUACCCUUUAGUGGGGGAUAACCAGGAGAAAUUCUGGCUAAUACCGCAUGAGAAGGUAACUUGAAAGGAUGCUUCGGCAUUCGCUAAGGGAUGGGCCUGCGGUACAUUAGCUUGUUGGUGGGGUAAUGGCCUACCAAGGCUACGAUGUAUAGCUGGUCUGAGAGGAUGAUC